CCCUUAGAUGUCCUGGGCCGCACGCGCGCUACAAUGACUCACUCAGAAAGUUUUUCCUGAUCCGGAAGGAUUCGGGUAAUCUUCAUAGCAUGAGUCGUGUUAGGGAUCGAUCUUUGCAAUUAUAGAUCUUGAACGAGGAAUGCCUAGUAAGUGCAGCUCAUCAGGCUGUACUGAUUACGUCCCUGCCCUUUGUACACACCUCCCGUCGCUCCUACCGAUUGAGUGGUCCGGUGAACCUUCUGGAUUAAGCAGCAAUGCUUGAGAAGUUAGGUAAACCUUAUCACUUAGAGGAAGGAGAAGUCGUAACA
Molecule: ribosomal RNA, 308 nt
Filed under: uncultured eukaryote
Lineage: Eukaryota
Description: partial 18S ribosomal RNA
Rfam family: Eukaryotic small subunit ribosomal RNA
Source: RNAcentral